This 377-nucleotide ribosomal RNA is filed under the name uncultured organism. RNAcentral's name for it is "partial 16S ribosomal RNA". It matches the Rfam family "Bacterial small subunit ribosomal RNA", at positions 527 to 896 of the family's 1533-position model. The record is from RNAcentral.
GUAGGUGGCAAGCGUUGUCCGGAAUUAUUGGGCGUAAAGCGCGCGCAGGCGGUCCUUUAAGUCUGAUGUGAAAGCCCACGGCGUCAACCGUGGAGGGUCGAUUGGAAACUGGGGACGUUGAGUACAGAAGAGGAAAGCGGAAUUCCAAGUGUAGCGGUGAAAUAGCGUAGAGAUUUGGUAGGGAACACCAGUGGCGAAGGCGGCUUUCUGGUCUGUGACUGACGCUGAGGCGCGAAAGCGUGGGGAGCAAACAGGAUUAGAUACCCUGGUAGCCCACGCCGUAAACGAUGAGUGCUAAGUGUUAGGGGGUUUCCGCCCCUUAGUGCUGCAGCUAACGCAUUAAGCACUCCGCCUGGGGAGUACGGCCGCAAAGGCUG